RNAcentral lists this ribosomal RNA (957 nucleotides) under Triticum aestivum (bread wheat). RNAcentral's name for it is "partial small subunit ribosomal RNA". The record is from RNAcentral. Lineage: Eukaryota; Viridiplantae; Streptophyta; Magnoliopsida; Poales; Poaceae.
AUGUCUAAGAUGGCACCUGAUUCAGAGGUGUUCGAGUCUGAUUCCCUCUAUGUGCCAAUAGUGCUUGUUGAGCCAACUCCUCCUCCUGCUGCUGCAGCAAUCAAGCUAGCAGGAGCAAAGGCAAAGAAGGAUGGUAGGUCGAACAACAUGAAGUGGCAGCCGUUCAUGUCCAUGUUCGUGCUGAACAAGAUGUGUGAGCUCAUCUCUAGUGGAGUUAGGACUGACAAGGGCUUCAAGAAGGUGCACUUGAACAUCGUUGCGAAGCAUGUGUUCGAGUUCUGUGGGCAAGAGGUGUCUGCCACCCAGGUGUACAACCACCUGAGGAAGUGGAGAAGUCGAUGGAUCCAAGUGUCCAAGUUGAGAGACCUUAGCGGUGCCUCAUGGGAUGAGAACACUUGCUCCAUAGUUCCGGAGGCAGAGCACUACGCCGGCCCGGACCACCCAAGGGACGUUGAGUUCCUCAACACACCCAUCCAGAACUACAGCCAGAUGCAGCACAUCUUCUCCUUCGGGCUGGCAACUGGGAAGCAUGCCAUGGGCUCGGGUGAGCCUCUUGGUUCUCUCAUGCCAGACUUCCCUGGGACACAGAACGUCGAGGUCCUUGAUGACCCUGACAAGCCCGCUGCGAAGCCCUUCGACAAGCCAUUUGACCCCGUCCAUGAUAGGAAGAGGAAGAGGAAGAGAGGAGGCCUGAUGGAGGAGGAGAUCAAUGUCUUUUGCAGCAUGACUGAGGCGGUGAAGGAGGUGGCAACAACCAUCAGGGAGUGCAAGCCCCUCGAUGUCCACCCUGACCUGUAUGGCGCUGUCAUGACCCAGGGUGGAUUCAGCGACGAGGCUCUCAUGGCAGCUCUCAGCCACCUUCUUGACAACAAGGCCCGGGGUGUUGGGUUCGUUGCCAUGGCCGACGCUCACAGGGUGCUAUGGCUCAGGAGCUGGUUGGGCAAGCACUACUACUAG